UACGUAGGACCCAAGCGUUAUCCGGAAUUACUGGGCGUAAAGAGUUGCGUAGGUGGCAGAGUAAGCAAGAUGUGAAAGCGUGUGGCUCAACCAUACAUGACAUGUUUUGAACUGCUCAGCUAGAGGAUAAGAGAGGUAGAUGGAAUUUCUAGUGUAGGAGUGAAAUCCGUAGAUAUUAGAAAGAACACCAAUGGCGUAGGCAGUCUACUGGCUUAUUCCUGACACUAAGGCACGAAAGCGUGGGGAGCGAACGGG
Molecule: ribosomal RNA, 255 nt
Filed under: uncultured bacterium
Lineage: Bacteria
Description: partial 16S ribosomal RNA
Rfam family: Bacterial small subunit ribosomal RNA
Source: RNAcentral